CCUACGGGAGGCAGCAGUGGGGGAUAUUGGACAAUGGGGGAAACCCUGAUCCAGCGACGCCGCGUGAGUGAAGAAGUAUUUCGGUAUGUAAAGCUCUAUCAGCAGGGAAGAAAGAAAUGACGGUACCUGAGUAAGAAGCCCCGGCUAACUACGUGCCAGCAGCCGCGGUAAUACGUAGGGGGCAAGCGUUAUCCGGAAUUACUGGGUGUAAAGGGAGCGUAGACGGUAAUGCAAGUCUGGAGUGAAAGGCGGGGGCCCAACCCCCGGACUGCUCUGGAAACUGUGUAACUGGAGUGCAGGGGAGGCAAGUGGAACUACAGGUGUAGCGGUGAAAUGCGUAAAUAUAUGGAAGAACACCAGUGGCGAAGGCGGCUUGCUGGGUCGAUACUGACAUUGAGGCACGAAAGCGUGGGGAGCAAACAGGAUUAGAUACCCCAGUAGUC
This 443-nucleotide ribosomal RNA is filed under the name uncultured bacterium. RNAcentral's name for it is "partial 16S ribosomal RNA". It matches the Rfam family "Bacterial small subunit ribosomal RNA", at positions 338 to 795 of the family's 1533-position model. The record is from RNAcentral.